This 535-nucleotide long non-coding RNA is filed under the name Homo sapiens (human). RNAcentral describes it as "HSALNT0365065". The record is from RNAcentral. Lineage: Eukaryota; Metazoa; Chordata; Mammalia; Primates; Hominidae.
GUUGUGCAGUGCACGGCUUGCACAUAGGCACAUGGUGACCUUGCAGCUAGGGGUGGGGGGAUGGGGGUCACAAGCAAGUUACUAAUAUUUUCUUUAAGCUUCUGUCUCCUUAAAUGUAAUAUGGUAAUCCUACUACCUUCCUCACAGGGUUGCCUUGAGGAUUAAAUGAGAUCAUGCAUGCCGAGAGAAGAUUACAGUGGCUGGCACAUGGGAGCUGCUGAGUAAAUAGGAGCCUUUAUCAUCUUGUCUUUCCAGAUUCAAGAGUGUGCUUUGCUGUGCAGUGAGCUCUAAACAAGUCUGAUCUUAUCUGGGAAGGCUCAGGCCCAUCUGAGAACAUGCACGUGGCUUAUUGAGACCUUGGCGCUGAUCAAUAGAAAUAGUGUUCUCAACUGCUGCUGGAAGGUUAGUAACCUCCUCUGAGAUUCUGCUGCUGAAGUGGCUACACAGAGGUCUCCCCAUCUCUUUCUUGCAAAGAUCAGACAUAAUAACAAUAAAAAUUCUUUAUUAUUAUCAUGCAAUAAAUAUUUGACAUUUG